Molecule: ribosomal RNA, 468 nt
Filed under: uncultured bacterium
Lineage: Bacteria
Description: partial 16S ribosomal RNA
Rfam family: Bacterial small subunit ribosomal RNA
Source: RNAcentral
GACGAACGCUGGCGGCGUGCUUAACACAUGCCAGUCGAACGGAAAGGCCCUGCUUUUGUGGGGUGCUCGAGUGGCGAACGGGUGAGUAACACGUGAGUAACCUGCCCUUGACUUUGGGAUAACUUCAGGAAACUGGGGCUAAUACCGGAUAGGAGCUCCUGCUGCAUGGUGGGGGUUGGAAAGUUUCGGCGGUUGGGGAUGGACUCGCGGCUUAUCAGCUUGUUGGUGGGGUAGUGGCUUACCAAGGCUUUGACGGGUAGCCGGCCUGAGAGGGUGACCGGCCACAUUGGGACUGAGAGACGGCGCAGACUGCUACGGGAGGCAGCAGUGGGGAAUAUUGCACAAUGGGCGGAAGCCUGAUGAAGCAACGCCGCGUGCGGGAUGACGGCCUUCGGGUUGUAAACCGCUUUCGCCUGUGACGAAGCGUGAGUGACGGUAAUGGGUAAAGAAGCACCGGCUAACUACGUG